Molecule: unclassified non-coding RNA, 200 nt
Filed under: Roussoella sp.
Lineage: Eukaryota; Fungi; Ascomycota; Dothideomycetes; Pleosporales; Thyridariaceae
Description: partial internal transcribed spacer 2
Source: RNAcentral
UUAAGUUCAGCGGGUAUCCCUACCUGAUCCGAGGUCAAUGGUGGAUGAUAUGCUUCUGGAGAGCCGACCUGCCGGGGCCUAGGGCGCGACUGUGCUGCGCUCACGGCCGGCGGAUGCGGGCUGCCAAUGACUUUGAGGUGAGUCGCCGCGCGGAGGCGGGACAAGCACCCAACACCAAGCGAGGCUUGAGGGUGUAAAUG